Molecule: ribosomal RNA, 215 nt
Filed under: Chaetothyriales sp.
Lineage: Eukaryota; Fungi; Ascomycota; Eurotiomycetes; Chaetothyriales
Description: partial large subunit ribosomal RNA
Source: RNAcentral
AAGCGCUGGCAACCAGACUUGUGGUUAAAGGUUCCCCCUGGCUUCUGCCUGGGUUACUCCUUUCUCUCCAGGCCAACAUCGGUUUGAGCGGCUGGUUAAAGGCCCUGGGAAUGUAUCAUCCCCUCGGGGAUGACUUAUAGCUCAGGGUGUCAUGCAGCCUGUUUGGACCGAGGAACGCGCUUCGGCUCGGAUGUUGGCGUAAUGGUUGUCAGCGA